GGUGGUAAUGCCGGAUGCUCCAUCACACCGCAUGGUGUGUUGGGAAAGCCUUUGCGGCAUGGGAUGGGGUCGCGUCCUAUCAGCUUGAUGGCGGGGUAACGGCCCACCAUGGCUUCGACGGGUAGCCGGCCUGAGAGGGCGACCGGCCACAUUGGGACUGAGAUACGGCCCAGACUCCUACGGGAGGCAGCAGUGGGGAAUAUUGCACAAUGGGCGCAAGCCUGAUGCAGCGACGCCGCGUGAGGGAUGGAGGCCUUCGGGUUGUAAACCUCUUUUGUUAGGGAGCAAGGCAUUUUGUGUUGAGUGUACCUUUCGAAUAAGCACCGGCUAACUACGUGCCAGCAGCCGCGGUAAUACGUAGGGUGCAAGCGUUAUCCGGAAUUAUUGGGCGUAAAGGGCUCGUAGGCGGUUCGUCGCGUCCGGUGUGAAAGUCCAUCGCUUAACGGUGGAUCCGCGCCGGGUACGGGCGGGCUUGAGUGCGGUAGGGGAGACUGGAAUUCCCGGUGUAACGGUGGAAUGUG
Molecule: ribosomal RNA, 521 nt
Filed under: Bifidobacterium breve
Lineage: Bacteria; Bacillati; Actinomycetota; Actinomycetes; Bifidobacteriales; Bifidobacteriaceae
Description: bacterial SSU rRNA
Rfam family: Bacterial small subunit ribosomal RNA
Source: RNAcentral